This 85-nucleotide transfer RNA is filed under the name Fidelibacterota bacterium. Its description in RNAcentral is "Candidatus Marinimicrobia bacterium tRNA-Leu". It matches the Rfam family "tRNA". From Rfam's summary of the family: Transfer RNA (tRNA) molecules are approximately 80 nucleotides in length. Their secondary structure includes four short double-helical elements and three loops (D, anti-codon, and T loops). Further hydrogen bonds mediate the characteristic L-shaped molecular structure. tRNAs have two regions of fundamental functional importance: the anti-codon, which is responsible for specific mRNA codon recognition, and the 3' end, to which the tRNAs corresponding amino acid is attached (by aminoacyl-tRNA synthetases). tRNAs cope with the degeneracy of the genetic code in two manners: having more than one tRNA (with a specific anti-codon) for a particular amino acid; and 'wobble' base-pairing, i.e. permitting non-standard base-pairing at the 3rd anti-codon position. The record is from RNAcentral. Lineage: Bacteria; Pseudomonadati; Fidelibacterota.
GCCGCGGUGGUGGAAUUGGCAGACACGCCAGAUUUAGGAUCUGGUGCUCUAAUGGGCGUGAAGGUUCGAGUCCUUUCCGCGGCAC